This is a ribosomal RNA of Verticillium dahliae VdLs.17, 120 nucleotides long. The record is from Rfam. Lineage: Eukaryota; Fungi; Ascomycota; Sordariomycetes; Glomerellales; Plectosphaerellaceae.
ACAUACGACCAUACCUACUGGAGAACUCGGGAUCCCGUCCGCUCUCCCAUAGAUAAGCUAGUAAGGGUCGGACUAGUAGUUGGGUGGGUGACCACCAGCGAAUCCCUGAUGUUGUAUGUU